GCCUCUCCUGUUCCAGGACUGUGUGGAACAGUUCUUUUAAAAGCCAGACCAUGGGCUUGGAAAUGACUUGAUCUUUACUGACCGAGUUGUAUAUUGAGCCUACCCUUUGCCCUUUUAAGGGGCACUGUGUGAAAUGGCCCGGGCUCCCCAGAUCGAAACUUCUUAUCUUCACCAUCCAGUCCUCGAGCUGCUGUGUGGCCUCCGAGCUCUGCGUCCAGUGCUCUCUCCCCACAGUGCCCCCAACUUACCCACAGCAGCUGACUCAGCCGCAGGCUGCCUCUAACAACCAUACACAAAAGCAGCGAGAAAUGAGCAUGCUGCCUUCUGGGCAGGACACUGCAUCCUGCAGAAGGGACCUUUAGGCUCACUCCUGCAUCUGGGAAGCCAGGCUGCCAGGGGACGGGGCAGCUGGUUGGACUCACCCUGUCCUCUUCCUGCUGCUACAUGGAGACAGCAGAGGGAGCCNNNNNNNNNNUACCAGGGAAAGGAACUUAGGCUUUCUUUAAAAAAAUCUCCUUAGUUUUAAUGUAUGUCUUUUUAAGAUUGAUAAUGUCAUUUGAAGUAAAAUAAUGUCAUAUGAAUAAUGUCAUAUGGAAGAGGGGAGGGAGACGAGAAUAUGGAGGAAGCAGACACUGAAUUCAGAUUUGCACCUGAGGUGGCAAGGGAGGAAAGGAGAAAAGGUACAGGUAAAGUUGAUCCUAAAGCGACAAGUGGUUUAAGGAAGCAGCAUUUAUACUCAGCAAACAUUCACUGAUUUUUGAUGGGAAAAGAACAGUUGCCAGUACAUCUCCUGUAACAACCUUUUCUAAAACGAAAAGUAGGGUUGAUUCAGCAAAGCCUAACUUAGGCAAAAGGCCAGAGGAAUGUGAACCUACUUCCCAAUGGAGUAAUAGGAUGUACAAUGUAAGAGCAGACAAAGCUGCCUCACAAAUGGUAAACACUCCCUAGGCACAAGACAUUUAAAGGAAGAUGAAGAGGUCCUCAGCCUCAACUGGUAUUUCCUAUUUAGACCUCUUAAUCUAGUUGCCUAGCUCACUCUGUACUCCUGUAUAAAACUGACAGAUUUACAGAUGCUGACCUAUUGAAAAAUACCACAGCCAGAAUGGCCUAAACAUGUAUAUAGUUAAUAAAACCACCACCAUCCUUUACUUUUAACA
Molecule: long non-coding RNA, 1157 nt
Filed under: Piliocolobus tephrosceles (Ugandan red Colobus)
Lineage: Eukaryota; Metazoa; Chordata; Mammalia; Primates; Cercopithecidae
Description: lncRNA (ENSPTEG00000026565.1)
Source: RNAcentral